RNAcentral lists this ribosomal RNA (468 nucleotides) under uncultured bacterium. RNAcentral describes it as "partial 16S ribosomal RNA". It matches the Rfam family "Bacterial small subunit ribosomal RNA", at positions 28 to 507 of the family's 1533-position model. The record is from RNAcentral.
GACGAACGCUGGCGGCGUGCUUAACACAUGCAAGUCGAACGGAAAGGCCCUGCUUUUGUGGGGUGCUCGAGUGGCGAACGGGUGAGUAACACGUGAGUAACCUGCCCUUGAUUUUGGGAUAACUUCAGGAAACUGGGGCUAAUACCGGAUAGGAGCUCCUGCUGCAUGGUGGGGGUUGGAAAGUUUCGGCGGUUGGGGAUGGACUCGCGGCUUAUCAGCUUGUUGGUGGGGUAGUGGCUUACCAAGGCUUUGACGGGUAGCCGGCCUGAGAGGGUGACCGGCCACAUUGGGACUGAGAUACGGCCCAGAGUCCUACGGGAGGCAGCAGUGGGGAAUAUUGCACAAUGGGCGGAAGCCUGAUGCAGCAACGCCGCGUGCGGGAUGACGGCCUUCGGGUUGUAAACCGCUUUCGCCUGUGACGAAGCGUGAGUGACGGUAAUGGGUAAAGAAGCACCGGCUAACUACGUG